GUAUAGCCCUUCACGCAAUUCAUGAUAGUUUAAAAACUCAUGUCUUGAAUGACAUUAUCUUUGAUCAAGUAUACGUUCUAAGCAUUAGGAAUGAUAUUGUUCAUAUUGUUUCAUCCUGCUACCUGUUUGCAUGUUUUUGUUCGUUUAUCAAAUAUACGCAUGUACUUUGCUUAUCAAUAUCAUGUCCACGUGUUUGUGAAUGGAGGAUAAAGAUACUGUAAUAAUGUUUCAAAGAUGAAUAUCGUUAAACACGUUGAUUAAAUAUUAACAUAUUUUUAAAUCACAUUUAUGAGAGUUAGGCGAAGAUUUUGUGAUGGAUUUUAUAUUUGCUACUGUACAAUAGGGGAGGUUACUGCGUAGGAGACGAACAUUUUCUUAAACCGGUUUAGCAUCAAAUCAAGUAGGACCUACUCCGGUGACCUCAGACGAACAUUCGUGUAAAAAAUGGAUUGAAAUGGACAAUCAUAAACUUCUGGGCUAUGGGCUUAUUGAAGACAACUGUAUGGAGAUAAACAGAAACACAGAGGUGCUAUACUUUCUGAUGGAAAAGACAACAAAAGCAUCUCCCAUCAUUUUGGCGUGGCUCAGAUCAAGAGGAGAAAUUUAAAAAAGGUGAUGGUUGGGCACAAACAAGAAGACAUAGAUCACAGGCGUAUAGCAUAUGAGUAGACAGGAGUUUCACACUCUGCCAGACUUACUUCCUCAGACGAGCAGAUUUAGGCUUCUCAAGAUCACGCACUGCACACUAAGACAUAGUCUUUGACUACAACAAGGCCUUAGGGGAUGAAAGUACAGAGAGGUCCAAUUGAAAUCAAUUCUGUGCUGCGUCAUUUCUUUAUUCUAGAGGUUGAUGGACAUGAUUUAUGGCAUCAAGUGUGCAGUUUGUCAACUAACUAUCAACACAGCAGUCUUGUUCACCAGCUGCGCAACUUGAGCUUUUAGCUUUAUUGCUUGAAGCCACUGUAUAAGAGGAGGGAAGGUGCAGACUCAUCAAAAAGUCUCAAGGUUGAAACUAGGAAGAGAAGUUUGUCAAGAGUGUGAAUAUUUGCUUUGAAAACAAUUGUUACAAUGAUUUGGUUUCCUUUGAAACUUGAUACAUACUAUGUGUAUGUUGAAUGAAUUGAGAUGCUUAAAUAAAGAACCACUAUUCAAAUAUCAGGAAACUGCAUUUUUCAUACUAAAUUGGUAAAUGAUGUCACCAUUUCCUGUAUGUAUUUAGAUAAAAUAUGUUUCCAC
Mya arenaria is the source of this 1236-nucleotide long non-coding RNA. RefSeq lists it as uncharacterized. The record is from RefSeq and is a predicted model, not a curated record. NCBI's taxonomy places the organism in Eukaryota, Metazoa, Mollusca, Bivalvia, Myida, Myidae. The transcript has 3 exons.